Molecule: ribosomal RNA, 3029 nt
Filed under: Salmonella enterica subsp. enterica serovar Typhimurium
Lineage: Bacteria; Pseudomonadati; Pseudomonadota; Gammaproteobacteria; Enterobacterales; Enterobacteriaceae
Description: 23S ribosomal RNA
Rfam family: Bacterial large subunit ribosomal RNA
Source: RNAcentral
GGGUUGUGAGGUUAAGCGACUAAGCGUACACGGUGGAUGCCCUGGCAGUCAGAGGCGAUGAAGGGCGUGCUAAUCUGCGAUAAGCGCCGGUAAGGUGAUAUGAACCGUUAUAACCGGCGAUACCCGAAUGGGGAAACCCAGUGUGACUCGUCACACUAUCAUUAACUGAAUCCAUAGGUUAAUGAGGCGAACCGGGGGAACUGAAACAUCUAAGUACCCCGAGGAAAAGAAAUCAACCGAGAUUCCCCCAGUAGCGGCGAGCGAACGGGGAGGAGCCCAGAGCCUGAAUCAGCAUGUGUGUUAGUGGAAGCGUCUGGAAAGGCGCGCGAUACAGGGUGACAGCCCCGUACACAAAAGCGCAUGUGCUGUGAGCUCGAUGAGUAGGGCGGGACACGUGGUAUCCUGUCUGAAUAUGGGGGGACCAUCCUCCAAGGCUAAAUACUCCUGACUGACCGAUAGUGAACCAGUACCGUGAGGGAAAGGCGAAAAGAACCCCGGCGAGGGGAGUGAAAAAGAACCUGAAACCGUGUACGUACAAGCAGUGGGAGCCCCACCACCAAAGCAUUCUCUGGUGUUGAAGGCCCUGCAAAGCAGCAUCGCGGUGGCGGAGCGUCGUUUGCGACGCCCAACACACAAAACAAGCGGUGAAUGCUUUGGGGUGGGGUGACUGCGUACCUUUUGUAUAAUGGGUCAGCGACUUAUAUUCUGUAGCAAGGUUAACCGAAUAGGGGAGCCGGAGGGAAACCGAGUCUUAAUUGGGCGUUAAGUUGCAGGGUAUAGACCCGAAACCCGGUGAUCUAGCCAUGGGCAGGUUGAAGGUUGGGUAACACUAACUGGAGGACCGAACCGACUAAUGUUGAAAAAUUAGCGGAUGACCUGUGGCUGGGGGUGAAAGGCCAAUCAAACCGGGAGAUAGCUGGUUCUCCCCGAAAGCUAUUUAGGUAGCGCCUCGUGAAUUCAUCUCCGGGGGUAGAGCACUGUUUCGGCUAGGGGGCCAUCCCGGCUUACCAACCCGAUGCAAACUGCGAAUACCGGAGAAUGUUAUCACGGGAGACACACGGCGGGUGCUAACGUCCGUCGUGAAGAGGGAAACAACCCAGACCGCCAGCUAAGGUCCCAAAGUCAUGGUUAAGUGGGAAACGAUGUGGGAAGGCCCAGACAGCCAGGAUGUUGGCUUAGAAGCAGCCAUCAUUUAAAGAAAGCGUAAUAGCUCACUGGUCGAGUCGGCCUGCGCGGAAGAUGUAACGGGGCUAAACCAUGCACCGAAGCUGCGGCAGCGACGCUGAUGCGUUGUUGGGUAGGGGAGCGUUCUGUAAGCCUGCGAAGGUGACCUGUGAGGGUUGCUGGAGGUAUCAGAAGUGCGAAUGCUGACAUAAGUAACGAUAAAGCGGGUGAAAAGCCCGCUCGCCGGAAGACCAAGGGUUCCUGUCCAACGUUAAUCGGGGCAGGGUGAGUCGACCCCUAAGGCGAGGCCGAAAGGCGUAGUCGAUGGGAAACGGGUUAAUAUUCCCGUACUUGGUGUUACUGCGAAGGGGGGACGGAGAAGGCUAUGUUGGCCGGGCGACGGUUGUCCCGGUUUAAGCGUGUAGGUGUGUGUUCCAGGUAAAUCCGGUUCACUUUAACACUGAGGCGUGACGACGAGGCACUACGGUGCUGAAGCAACAAAUGCCCUGCUUCCAGGAAAAGCCUCUAAGCAUCAGGUAACAUCAAAUCGUACCCCAAACCGACACAGGUGGUCAGGUAGAGAAUACCAAGGCGCUUGAGAGAACUCGGGUGAAGGAACUAGGCAAAAUGGUGCCGUAACUUCGGGAGAAGGCACGCUGACACGUAGGUGAAGUGAUUUACUCACGGAGCUGAAGUCAGUCGAAGAUACCAGCUGGCUGCAACUGUUUAUUAAAAACACAGCACUGUGCAAACACGAAAGUGGACGUAUACGGUGUGACGCCUGCCCGGUGCCGGAAGGUUAAUUGAUGGGGUCAGCGCAAGCGAAGCUCCUGAUCGAAGCCCCGGUAAACGGCGGCCGUAACUAUAACGGUCCUAAGGUAGCGAAAUUCCUUGUCGGGUAAGUUCCGACCUGCACGAAUGGCGUAAUGAUGGCCAGGCUGUCUCCACCCGAGACUCAGUGAAAUUGAACUCGCUGUGAAGAUGCAGUGUACCCGCGGCAAGACGGAAAGACCCCGUGAACCUUUACUAUAGCUUGACACUGAACAUUGAGCCUUGAUGUGUAGGAUAGGUGGGAGGCUUUGAAGUGUGGACGCCAGUCUGCAUGGAGCCGACCUUGAAAUACCACCCUUUAAUGUUUGAUGUUCUAACGUGGACCCGUAAUCCGGGUUGCGGACAGUGUCUGGUGGGUAGUUUGACUGGGGCGGUCUCCUCCUAAAGAGUAACGGAGGAGCACGAAGGUUGGCUAAUCCUGGUCGGACAUCAGGAGGUUAGUGCAAUGGCAUAAGCCAGCUUGACUGCGAGCGUGACGGCGCGAGCAGGUGCGAAAGCAGGUCAUAGUGAUCCGGUGGUUCUGAAUGGAAGGGCCAUCGCUCAACGGAUAAAAGGUACUCCGGGGAUAACAGGCUGAUACCGCCCAAGAGUUCAUAUCGACGGCGGUGUUUGGCACCUCGAUGUCGGCUCAUCACAUCCUGGGGCUGAAGUAGGUCCCAAGGGUAUGGCUGUUCGCCAUUUAAAGUGGUACGCGAGCUGGGUUUAGAACGUCGUGAGACAGUUCGGUCCCUAUCUGCCGUGGGCGCUGGAGAACUGAGGGGGGCUGCUCCUAGUACGAGAGGACCGGAGUGGACGCAUCACUGGUGUUCGGGUUGUCAUGCCAAUGGCACUGCCCGGUAGCUAAAUGCGGAAGAGAUAAGUGCUGAAAGCAUCUAAGCACGAAACUUGCCCCGAGAUGAGUUCUCCCUGAGACUUUAGGUCUCCUGAAGGAACGUUGAAGACGACGACGUUGAUAGGCCGGGUGUGUAAGCGCAGCGAUGCGUUGAGCUAACCGGUACUAAUGAACCGUGAGGCUUAACCUUACAACGCCGAAG